GCGGAGAGCCCAGAGCAGGCGCGCCGUGGCCGGGAUGCACUAUCCGGAUCUUCCGGAAAAGUCGGCGCGCCCAGCCCGCCCCUAGCGUGCCCGCGCCGCCGCUAUUGGGCCACGGGCUGUCCGGCCCCCGCUCAUUGGUCCGCGGCUGCACGGUGCCUGCAGUCCCACCCCUCGCCCAGCGGCCGCGACGCUAUGGCGCACUGGAGUACCCUGUUCCUGGCAGGGAGGAACAGGAAGAGAAGAGUGUGGCCUCCUAGAAAUCUAGCACGGAGAAAGGAUGGAAUACAGGGGGGACAGUUAGAUUCUGAAUUGUUAAGCAGAGCUGCUUGAUGCAGAAGAUGAAGACACAAGAAAGAAUGAGCCUAGGCCGGGCACAGUGGCUCACGCCUGUAAUUCCAGCACUUCGGGAGGCCGAGGCGGGAGGAUCACUUGAGCUCAGGAGUUUGAGACCGGCCUGGCCACCAUGGUGAAACCUCGACUCUACCAAAAAAAAAAAAAAAAAGCCAAAAUUAGCCGGGUGUGGUGGCAUAUGCCUGUGGUCCCAGCUACUUGGGAGGCUGAAGUGGGAGAAUCACUUGAGCCCAGGAGGCUGCAGUUGCAGUGAGCUGAUAUUAUGCCACUGCACUCCAGCCUGGGUGACAGGGUGAGACCCUGUCUCAAAAAAAAAAAAAAA
RNAcentral lists this long non-coding RNA (673 nucleotides) under Homo sapiens (human). RNAcentral describes it as "HSALNT0341290". Lineage: Eukaryota; Metazoa; Chordata; Mammalia; Primates; Hominidae. The record is from RNAcentral.